This 2914-nucleotide ribosomal RNA is filed under the name Aeromonas hydrophila. RNAcentral describes it as "23S ribosomal RNA". It matches the Rfam family "Bacterial large subunit ribosomal RNA". Lineage: Bacteria; Pseudomonadati; Pseudomonadota; Gammaproteobacteria; Aeromonadales; Aeromonadaceae. The record is from RNAcentral.
GUUGUAUGGUUAAGUGACUAAGCGUACAUGGUGGAUGCCUUGGCAGUCAGAGGCGAUGAAGGACGUACUAACCUGCGAUAAGCCGUGAGCAGUCGGUAAGAGACAUUACGACUCACGGAUUUCCGAAUGGGGAAACCCACUUAGCAUAAGCUAGGUAUCGCUACGUGAAUACAUAGCGUAGCGAGGCGAACCGGGAGAACUGAAACAUCUAAGUACCCCGAGGAAAAGAAAUCAACCGAGAUUCCCUCAGUAGCGGCGAGCGAACGGGGAUUAGCCCUUAAGCAUCUUGGAAGUUAGUGGAACGGUCCUGGAAAGGCCGGCGAUACAGGGUGAUAGCCCCGUACACGAAAACAACCUUGAUGUGAAAUCGAGUAGGGCGGGACACGUGACAUCCUGUCUGAAUAUGGGGGACCAUCCUCCAAGGCUAAAUACUCCUGACUGACCGAUAGUGAACCAGUACCGUGAGGGAAAGGCGAAAAGAACCCCUGUGAGGGGAGUGAAAUAGAACCUGAAACCGUGUACGUACAAGCAGUGGGAGCCCUUCGGGGUGACUGCGUACCUUUUGUAUAAUGGGUCAGCGACUUACAUUUUGUAGCGAGGUUAACCGUAUAGGGGAGCCGUAGGGAAACCGAGUCUUAACUGGGCGUCUAGUUGCAAGGUGUAGACCCGAAACCGGGUGAUCUAGCCAUGGGCAGGUUGAAGGUUGAGUAACAUCAACUGGAGGACCGAACCCACUAACGUUGCAAAGUUAGGGGAUGACCUGUGGCUGGGGGUGAAAGGCCAAUCAAACUCGGAGAUAGCUGGUUCUCCCCGAAAGCUAUUUAGGUAGCGCCUCGGACGAAUACUACUGGGGGUAGAGCACUGUUUGGGCUAGGGGGUCAUCCCGACUUACCAACCCCAUGCAAACUCCGAAUACCAGUAAGUAAUAUCCGGGAGACACACGGCGGGUGCUAACGUCCGUCGUGAAGAGGGAAACAACCCAGACCGCCGGCUAAGGUCCCAAAGUUCUGGUUAAGUGGGAAACGAUGUGGGAAGGCUCAGACAGCUAGGAUGUUGGCUUAGAAGCAGCCAUCAUUUAAAGAAAGCGUAAUAGCUCACUAGUCGAGUCGGCCUGCGCGGAAGAUGUAACGGGGCUCAAACCAGGCACCGAAGCCGCGGAUUCACGCUAAGCGUGAGUGGUAGGGGAGCGUUCUGUAAGUCUGCGAAGGUGUGUCGAGAGGCAUGCUGGAGAUAUCAGAAGUGCGAAUGCUGACGUAAGUAACGAUAAAGGGGGUGAAAAGCCUCCUCGCCGGAAGACCAAGGGUUCCUGUCCAACGUUAAUCGGGGCAGGGUGAGUCGACCCCUAAGGCGAGGCCGAAAGGCGUAGUCGAUGGGAAGCAGGUUAAUAUUCCUGCACGACUUGUAAUUGCGAUGGGGGACGGAGAAGGCUAGGUGGGCCAGGCGACGGUUGUCCUGGUGAAAGUGCGUAGGUGGUGUUUCUAGGCAAAUCCGGAGACACAACACUGAGACACGAGACGAACACACUACGGUGUGGAAGCCAUUGAUGCCCUGCUUCCAGGAAAAGCCUCUAAGCUUCAGAUUACAAGUCAUCGUACCCCAAACCGACACAGGUGGUCGGGUAGAGAAUACCAAGGCGCUUGAGAGAACUCGGGUGAAGGAACUAGGCAAAAUAGAACCGUAACUUCGGGAGAAGGUUCGCUCUUGACAGUGAAGUCCCUUGCGGAUGGAGCAGUUGGGAGUCGCAGUGACCAGAUGGCUGGGACUGUUUAUCAAAAACACAGCACUCUGCAAACACGAAAGUGGACGUAUAGGGUGUGACACCUGCCCGGUGCCGGAAGGUUAAUUGAUGGGGUUAGCGCAAGCGAAGCUCUUGAUCGAAGCCCCGGUAAACGGCGGCCGUAACUAUAACGGUCCUAAGGUAGCGAAAUUCCUUGUCGGGUAAGUUCCGACCUGCACGAAUGGUGUAACCAUGGCCAUGCUGUCUCCACCCGAGACUCAGUGAAAUCGAAUUCGCCGUGAAGAUGCGGUGUACCCGCGGCUAGACGGAAAGACCCCGUGAACCUUUACUACAGCUUGGCACUGAACAUUGAACCUACAUGUGUAGGAUAGGUGGGAGGCUUUGAAGGCGUGACGCCAGUUGCGCUGGAGCCGUCCUUGAAAUACCACCCUUGUAUGUUUGAUGUUCUAACGCAGGCCCAUGAAUCUGGGUCGCGGACAGUGCCUGGUGGGUAGUUUGACUGGGGCGGUCUCCUCCCAAAGAGUAACGGAGGAGCACGAAGGUUGGCUAAUCCUGGUCGGACAUCAGGAGGUUAGUGCAAUGGCAUAAGCCAGCUUAACUGCGAGACGGACAGGUCGAGCAGGUACGAAAGUAGGUCAUAGUGAUCCGGUGGUUCUGAAUGGAAGGGCCAUCGCUCAACGGAUAAAAGGUACUCCGGGGAUAACAGGCUGAUACCGCCCAAGAGUUCAUAUCGACGGCGGUGUUUGGCACCUCGAUGUCGGCUCAUCACAUCCUGGGGCUGAAGUCGGUCCCAAGGGUAUGGCUGUUCGCCAUUUAAAGUGGUACGCGAGCUGGGUUCAGAACGUCGUGAGACAGUUCGGUCCCUAUCUGCCGUGGGCGUUGGAUGAUUGAAGGGAGUUGCUCCUAGUACGAGAGGACCGGAGUGAACGAACCUCUGGUGUUCGGUUGUCACGCCAGUGGCACUGCCCGGUAGCUAAGUUCGGAAUCGAUAACCGCUGAAAGCAUCUAAGCGGGAAGCGAGCCCUGAGAUGAGUCAUCCCUGACCCCUUGAGGGUCCUAAAGGGCCGUUGGAGACCACAACGUUGAUAGGUGGGGUGUGUAAGCGCGGCGACGUGUUGAGCUAACCCAUACUAAUUACCCGUGAGGCUUAACCAUACAACACCCAAGAAGUGUUCU